AGAGUUUGAUCAUGGCUCAGGACGAACGCUGGCGGCGUGCUUAACACAUGCAAGUCGAACGGUGAUCUUGGGAGCUUGCUCCUGGGUGAUCAGUGGCGAACGGGUGAGUAACACGUGAGUAACCUGCCCCGGACUCUGGGAUAACUUCGGGAAACCGGAGCUAAUACCGGAUAUGACCCUCGCCUGCAUGGGCUGGGGGUGGAAAGUUUUUCGGUCUGGGAUGGGCUCGCGGCCUAUCAGCUUGUUGGUGAGGUAGUGGCUCACCAAGGCGACGACGGGUAGCCGGCCUGAGAGGGCGACCGGCCACACUGGGACUGAGACACGGCCCAGACUCCUACGGGAGGCAGCAGUGGGGAAUAUUGCACAAUGGGCGCAAGCCUGAUGCAGCGACGCCGCGUGAGGGAUGACGGCCUUCGGGUUGUAAACCUCUUUCAGCAGGGAAGAAGCGUGAGUGACGGUACCUGCAGAAGAAGCACCGGCUAACUACGUGCCAGCCGCCGCGGUAAUUC
This 509-nucleotide ribosomal RNA is filed under the name uncultured bacterium. Its description in RNAcentral is "bacterial SSU rRNA". It matches the Rfam family "Bacterial small subunit ribosomal RNA", at positions 8 to 526 of the family's 1533-position model. The record is from RNAcentral.